UUUUGCAUCAGUUUUUAAACCAUUUUACCAAGUAUCCAUGCUUCAAAGUCAACACUUCCAUGUUUAAGAGGGAUCUAGCUUCUCCUGGCACAAAGUUUGGUAUUUUAAAAGAAGGGACUUUAUUAUCCAAGGCAGAGAUUCCUGAAGAACAGGUCUAGUACCAUCAUUUGAACAGAAAAACUCAUCAUCCUUCUGUGGGUGGGGUGAGCCACAUGCCUUGUGGUUUCACUUAAUUACUGUGCAGGAAUUGUGCUCUGGGGCCAAGCUACGGGUGCAUUUUGCUUUUCGUUGCAAUCUUAACAGGAAAUAAAGUCUGUGGACCUAAAAAAUUGUGCCCGCCAUUAAUGAGCUCUAUCUAUGUCUCACAGAGGCAAGCCAUGCAAACACUGGGUAUCAUUGAGGUACAGGGGAUUUUUCACUGUGAGUACACGGUCAUGAUUAAGUGGGCAGGCUUUGGAAUCUUUGGAUUUGAAUCUCAGGGCCACCACUUACUACAUGCAUGUGGAUAGGUCUAUCAACUUUUAGGAUUUUAAUUUUCUUACCUAUAAAAUGAGGCUUAUAUACCUACAUAUAGCAGGGCUAUAUAAAUGAAAGAAAAUGAUGUAUUUAAAGUAGCUAGUACUGUGAUUAUUAUAUGAUUCUCAAUACAUGAUGAUCAAUUUUUAUUAUUAAAAUGCGCCCAAGAUAAAUUUGCAUAUUUUCAAUAAUAACUUGGAAGCCAAGUGUGUGUUUGUAUAUAAAAUAUACUUUAACAAGAAAUCUUUCAUAAUUCAGAGAUCAUAAUAAAUUUUGAUAGAUAUUAUCAAUCUUUCAAGUAGGAGGUGCUUGUCUAUUCCGUUUUACAGAUGGAGAACCUGAAGCACAAAAAGUGAAUUUCCUGAUAUCACAAAAGAAAGUUUUCUUUUAGUGUUUUUAAUAAUAAAAUGAGGUCCAAGGUUGAAGUUAAAGAACGUGUUAAGUUGUAUCACAACCAAAGCAGACACACCGGUUUUGACCUGCGCUAGUUCAGUCCCUGCUUCGCUGAAAGGGUCGGCCUCCUCUUUUGAAGACAGGCGUUGCUUCGGAUUUGCAAAGAUUCAGAAACAGUCAAGGACAGCGCCUUCCUGAAAAACAGCCGCAGCAUUUAGCGCCAGAUUGUGAAGACAGAGGAGGAAAAUUACCUUUAGCAAACCUAACUAUCUGCAUGACAUUCUGCAUGCAUAAACAGAUAAACUGUUAGUUGAGAAACCAGAGUUUCUUCUAACAAAUGAAUUAAUAUAGCUGUUUAAUUCGUCUCCUUGUUCUAUAAAUACAAGCAGCUAUGAAGAAUGUGUCCAGUGUCUGCCGUGGUGGCUUCUGUGUGCGCGUGUGUUCUUUCUCAUGCGCUUCCUUGGUGGCAGGGUGCCCGGGGACUGUGGAGGGACAUCCUGACUGCCUCCCACUUCUCCUCCCCAGAACGCUUCACUGUUUCUGCUGAAAUCCCUCUAUUUAAAGGACUGAAAAUUCUCAUGCCCUAGAAACCACAGAAGUAGAACUUCAAGUGUUUCCCAAAGACAAAUAUCCCUAUUAAGAAGGGGACAGGACUUUGGCAGCCAUCUGCAAACUGUGGCGGGCAAUUUGGCUCCAGCAGCCAUCCUGCCUUGUAAAGAGAGAGCAAACAAUCCCUUUGUCCACAGCCCCUGGGCUUGCCUGGGCACCCCAGGCAGGAAGUGCUCUUUCAGCCCCCACUCUCCCUUCCAUCAAAGCCUUCUUUUUCAACAUAGUGCUUUCCUGAUCAUAUUAUCUGACUGCUCUAGUGAAACAGCCUUCCCUGUCCACCGCAAGGAGGAAUACCGAGCCGUGGCAAGACCACCUCCAUGCUCUGCCCUCAAAGAGCAAAGGGCCAGACACCAGCAUGGAUGGCUCGUAACUGGGGUGUGUGUAUAGAGAAGGUGCCCAAGGGUGAAAGGAGCUAAUAGUGAGUAGAACUAGUACAAAUUGGAUUUAACCUCACACAAAGCCAUUGAAAAUAUCAUGGUUGUAUGAAAUCUCUGCAGUUUUUACACAUUCCCUAAAAUAUAAAAUGAAAAAACUGGUGAGAUGAUUGGAUGACCUCAAACUUUCCAGUUCAUCUCUGUCUUUACAUGUGAAUUGUAUUCAAUUCCUUCCUUCUGUGUUAAAAGAAGCCUGGAAAGCCCUCCACACCCUGGUGGACAGGGUGGAUGGUCUUCCCACGGAGACAGCUGACAGCCACCCCACCAGCCAGGCUCUGCCACCCUAGAAAGAGGGCCUGGAAAUGUGCAGGUCUGGGUUUCUUGAUUUCCCCACUCCUAAGCAAAAGGGAAAGAGAGGGAAAGGUCUAUAAAAUGUCUUAACAAAAGAAGCAUGUAGGCAUUUCCAUUUCACAAAGCGUGUUCAACAAAUGCACUCACUGCUGAUUAGCACUGGAGGCGCGCUUUUCCGAAGUCCUUUUUGCCACCAGAUCUUCUUUAUCCUGGGAAGCCGGACACUGCUGAUUGUCAAACGCUGCUAAGUACCCAGAUUAAGACCUCUCCCCAUUUACCAGUUCCUAUGAAGCUGCUGAUUGUGGCAAGCCCUCCUCUGCCACUGCUGUCAUCCCGCAGCAGGACUUUCUUAAGGAAAACAAGCUCUCCAUUCUGCACUCUGCCGCAUUCAAAAAUAGGAUUUCAAGCCUUCCCCUUCCCCAGAUUCCUGUAAUCCUCAUUCAGCUGCCCUUGCAUCUGUGUCUGAGUCUGAACCAGGAACACUAAGAUUCUCCUUCAUUCAAUCUUCUUCCGUUUUUCUAACUCUGUUGGAGGAAAAAAUGCAAUACACCCAGCUAUGAAGACAGAGAAAGACAGAAAGAGACAUAGAGAGACUGAGAGACAGACAGAACCCACAGACAUGGCACACAUUUCUAUUAACGUCAUAGUCAUAGUCUAA
This 2901-nucleotide long non-coding RNA is filed under the name Homo sapiens (human). Its description in RNAcentral is "HSALNT0116401". The record is from RNAcentral. Lineage: Eukaryota; Metazoa; Chordata; Mammalia; Primates; Hominidae.